UCCCUGGUGGUCCAGUGGCUAAGACUCUGUGCUCCUGAUGCAGGGGUGCUGGGUUCGAUCCCUGGUCAGGGAA
RNAcentral lists this transfer RNA (73 nucleotides) under Ovis aries (sheep). It matches the Rfam family "tRNA". Rfam says of the family: Transfer RNA (tRNA) molecules are approximately 80 nucleotides in length. The record is from Rfam by way of RNAcentral. Lineage: Eukaryota; Metazoa; Chordata; Mammalia; Artiodactyla; Bovidae.